AGGCAUGAACCACUGCGUCCAGCCCAGUAAUUUCUGUAAUAAUAGUAUUAUUGAGCUUACGCUUUUCAUAAUAUAGUGAUGAUACAUGAAGCACAUUCUAAUUGGAAUAACCUGUAUCCUACCUUUUGAUAAUUGAGAUGUCAGAUUGGUGAGAGAUUAGGUAAUGUGUUUUAUAAGUAGAAUAUUAUAGGUUAACAGUCUAAUUUUUGUUUUUUUUAAUUGUGUUCAUCAUUAACAUAGGUUUUUGAUUUUGUUGUUACUUUUUUAAUGAUUCUAGGGCUGUGCUUCCUGGAAGUGGUAUUAUCCAUUUCAUUAUGCACCAUUUGCUUCAGACUUUGAAGGCAUUGCAGACAUGCCAUCUGAUUUUGAGAAGGGUACGAAACCGGUAAGCUUAAUUACUUAAAGUCAUAAAGUUUAUAGAAUUCUGGAUUAGAUAAUAAUCUUGGGUCUUUAAUGUUUUUUCUUUUUUCAGUUUAAACCACUAGAACAACUUAUGGGGGUAUUUCCAG
This 509-nucleotide long non-coding RNA is filed under the name Homo sapiens (human). Its description in RNAcentral is "HSALNT0265295". Lineage: Eukaryota; Metazoa; Chordata; Mammalia; Primates; Hominidae. The record is from RNAcentral.